GGUAUAUAUAGCGGUGCUCACGGGCUCUGGAGCAGACCACUGGGAGGCCUCAAAAUGACUAAGCGGACUGGGAAGCCCCAAGGCUCCAGAGUAGUUAGGAAACACCUGCCUCCUGUUACCCGGGGCAAAAGGAUGAAGACCUCCUCUCAAUUGAGGCCCAAAACAAAUGUCAAGGUGGCCAAGGCAAGUGCGAGAGUGAAUAAUCACCUACAGGCAAAGCUGACCAAGAAAACUUCUCAGAAACCGCCCACCACGAGGAACCUUAGAAAAAUCGGAGGCUCAAAACUCUGUAGCCAGGGUUCCAAGGUGAAUGAAGAGCUGAAUCAGAACGGACCAGAGGAGGUCCCAGAGAGUGUGGAGAUGCCUGUCAUUCCAGCGGGACCGGUGGGCAGCCAGUGACUUGAAGGUGGCCAAGGCAAGUGCGAGAGUGAAUAAUCACCUACAGGCAAAGCUGACCAAGAAAACUUCUCAGAAACCACCCACCACGAGGAACCUUAGAAAAAUCGGAGGCUCAAAGCUCUGUAGCCAGGGUUCCAAGGUGAAUGAAGAGCUGAGUCAGAAUGGACCAGAGGAGGUCCCAGAGAGUGUGGAGAUGCCUGUCAUUCCAGUGGGACCGGUGGGCAGCCAGUGACUUGAAGGCAUGGCUAGAGACCUCAGAAAUCUUUGGGGGUCUUGCCACUGAGUACUGGCCAACAGUACAGACAUUGACUAUUAUACCAACUGCAUACAUUAAGAAUGAAAAUAAAAUCAACCUGAU
Molecule: long non-coding RNA, 757 nt
Filed under: Bos indicus x Bos taurus (hybrid cattle)
Lineage: Eukaryota; Metazoa; Chordata; Mammalia; Artiodactyla; Bovidae
Description: lncRNA (ENSBIXG00005010341.1)
Source: RNAcentral